UUUCCGUAGGUGAACCUGCGGAAGGAUCAUUGAUGCAUUGUCGAUCACAGCCCUUGGUUCAGAAUCCACGUGUCGCCCUGUGGCCGGCCCACCGAGCAGAGGGAUGGGUGUCCAGGGGGGAGACCCCCGCGCCCGCCUCUGCCCGACGCCUCCGCAGCGCCCCCACCCACUCCACACCCCCAACCCUCCAUGCCUGAAGCAAGCAUGUGCGCGCGUCGAACACCCGUUUGGCCGCCCACAGACAACCAGAGACAACUCUCAACAACGGAUAUCUUGGCUCCC
RNAcentral lists this unclassified non-coding RNA (282 nucleotides) under plant metagenome. RNAcentral describes it as "partial contains small subunit ribosomal RNA, internal transcribed spacer 1, and 5.8S ribosomal RNA". The record is from RNAcentral.